GACGAACGCUGGCGGCGUGCUUAACACAUGCAAGUCGAACGGAAAGGCCCUGCUUUUGUGGGGUUCUCGAGUGGCGAACGGGUGUGUAACACGUGAGUAACCUUCCCUUGACUUUGGGAUAACUUCAGGCAACUGGGGCUACUACCUGAUAGGAGCUCCUGCUGCAUGGUGGGGUUUGGAACGUUUCGGCGGUUGGGGAUGUACUCGCGGCUUAUCAGCUUGUUGGUGGAGUAGUGGCUUACCCAGGCUUUGACGGGUAGCCGGCCUGAGAGGGUGACCGGCGACAUGGGGACUGAGAUACGGCCCAGACGCCUACGGGAGGCAGCAGGGGGGAAUAUGGCACAAUGGGCGGAAGCGUGAUGCAGAAACGCCGCGUGCGGGAUGAAGGCCUUCGGGUGGUAAACCGCUUUAGCCUGUGACGAAGCGUGAGUGACGGUAAUGGGUAAAGAAGCACCGGCUAACUACGUG
Molecule: ribosomal RNA, 468 nt
Filed under: uncultured bacterium
Lineage: Bacteria
Description: partial 16S ribosomal RNA
Rfam family: Bacterial small subunit ribosomal RNA
Source: RNAcentral